UACGUAGGGGGCAAGCGUUAUCCGGAUUUACUGGGUGUAAAGGGAGCGUAGACGGCCGUGCAAGCCAGGAGUGAAAGCCCGGGGCCCAACCCCGGGACUGCUCUUGGAACUGUGCGGCUGGAGUGCGGGAGGGGCAGGCGGAAUUCCUGGUGUAGCGGUGAAAUGCAUAGAUAUCACGCAGAACUCCGAUUGCGAAGGCAGCUUACUAAGCCAUAACUGACACUGAAGCACGAAAGCGUGGGGAUCAAACAGG
This 253-nucleotide ribosomal RNA is filed under the name uncultured bacterium. Its description in RNAcentral is "partial 16S ribosomal RNA". It matches the Rfam family "Bacterial small subunit ribosomal RNA", at positions 524 to 776 of the family's 1533-position model. The record is from RNAcentral.